This 86-nucleotide transfer RNA is filed under the name Acinetobacter phage vB_AbaM_Acibel004. It matches the Rfam family "tRNA". From Rfam's summary of the family: Transfer RNA (tRNA) molecules are approximately 80 nucleotides in length. Lineage: Duplodnaviria; Heunggongvirae; Uroviricota; Caudoviricetes; Luriaviridae. The record is from Rfam by way of RNAcentral.
GGUAGAUAGCGUCAAGGUGACAAAGUGGAUUUGAAAUCCAUGCUAUUGGUUAGUAGCCGAUAAGGGUUCGAUUCCUUUAUCUACCU